UACGUAGGGUGCAAGCGUUAAUCGGAAUUACUGGGCGUAAAGCGUGCGCAGGCGGUCAUGCAAGACAGAUGUGAAAUCUCCGGGCUUAACCUGGGAACUGCAUUUGUGACUGCGUGACUAGAGUAUGGUAGAGGGGGAUGGAAUUCCGCGUGUAGCAGUGAAAUGCGUAGAUAUGCGGAGGAACACCGAUGGCGAAGGCAAUUCCCUGGACCUGUACUGACGCUCAUGCACGAAAGCGGGGGGAGCAAACAGG
Molecule: ribosomal RNA, 253 nt
Filed under: uncultured bacterium
Lineage: Bacteria
Description: partial 16S ribosomal RNA
Rfam family: Bacterial small subunit ribosomal RNA
Source: RNAcentral